AGUGAACGCUGGCGGUAGUCCUAACACAUGCAAGUCGAACGGCAGCACAGUAAGAGCUUGCUCUUACGGGUGGCGAGUGGCGGACGGGUGAGGAAUACAUCGGAAUCUACUUUUUCGUGGGGGAUAACGUAGGGAAACUUACGCUAAUACCGCAUACGACCUACGGGUGAAAGCAGGGGAUCUUCGGACCUUGCGCGAUUGAAUGAGCCGAUGUCGGAUUAGCUAGUUGGCGGGGUAAAGGCCCACCAAGGCGACGAUCCGUAGCUGGUCUGAGAGGAUGAUCAGCCACACUGGAACUGAGACACGGUCCAGACUCCUACGGGAGGCAGCAGUGGGGAAUAUUGGACAAUGGGCGCAAGCCUGAUCCAGCCAUACCGCGUUGGUGAAGAAGGCCUUCGGGUUGUAAAGCCCUUUUGUUGGGAAAGAAAAGCAGCAGGUUAAUACCCCGCUGUUCUGACGGUACCCAAAGAAUAAGCACCGGCUAACUUCGUG
RNAcentral lists this ribosomal RNA (492 nucleotides) under uncultured bacterium. RNAcentral describes it as "partial 16S ribosomal RNA". It matches the Rfam family "Bacterial small subunit ribosomal RNA", at positions 29 to 507 of the family's 1533-position model. The record is from RNAcentral.